RNAcentral lists this ribosomal RNA (277 nucleotides) under uncultured bacterium. RNAcentral's name for it is "partial 16S ribosomal RNA". It matches the Rfam family "Bacterial small subunit ribosomal RNA", at positions 355 to 624 of the family's 1533-position model. The record is from RNAcentral.
UAGGGAAUCUUCCACAAUGGACGCAAGUCUGAUGGAGCAACGCCGCGUGAGUGAAGAAGGCUUUCGGGGUCGUAAAACUCUGUUAUUGAAGAAGAACGUGUGUGACAGUAACUGGUCAUGCAGUGACGGUAUUCAAUCAGAAAGUCACGGCUAACUACGUGCCAGCAGCCGCGGUAAUACGUAGGUGGCAAGCGUUGUCCGGAUUUAUUGGGCGUAAAGCGAGUGCAGGCGGUCUUUUAAGUCUGAUGUGAAAGCCUUCGGCUUAACCGAGAAGGGC